RNAcentral lists this ribosomal RNA (254 nucleotides) under uncultured bacterium. RNAcentral describes it as "partial 16S ribosomal RNA". It matches the Rfam family "Bacterial small subunit ribosomal RNA", at positions 524 to 776 of the family's 1533-position model. The record is from RNAcentral.
UACGUAGGGUGCGAGCGUUAAUCGGAAUUACUGGGCGUAAAGCGUGCGCAGGCGGUUCGUUGUGUCGGCGGUGAAAGCCCCGGGCUUAACCUGGGAAUGGCCGUCGAAACUGGCGAACUGGAGUGUGGCAGAGGGGGGUGGAAUUCCGCGUGUAGCAGUGAAAUGCGUAGAGAUGCGGAGGAACACCGAUGGCGAAGGCAGCCCCCCUGGGCUAACACUGACGCUCAUGCACGAAAGCGUGGGGAGCAAACAGG